UACGUAGGGUGCGAGCGUUAAUCGGAAUUACUGGGCGUAAAGCGUGCGCAGGCGGUUGUGCAAGACAGGUGUGAAAUCCCCGGGCUUAACCUGGGAAUUGCGAUGGAGACUGCAAGGCUAGAAUCUGGCAGAGGGGGGUAGAAUUCCACGUGUAGCAGUGAAAUGCGUAGAUAUGCGGAGGAACACCGAUGGCGAAGGCAAUCCCCUGGGCCUGCACUGACGCUCAUGCACGAAAGCGUGGGGAGCAAACAGG
This 253-nucleotide ribosomal RNA is filed under the name uncultured bacterium. Its description in RNAcentral is "partial 16S ribosomal RNA". It matches the Rfam family "Bacterial small subunit ribosomal RNA", at positions 524 to 776 of the family's 1533-position model. The record is from RNAcentral.